This 119-nucleotide ribosomal RNA is filed under the name Hordeum vulgare subsp. vulgare (domesticated barley). The record is from RNAcentral. Lineage: Eukaryota; Viridiplantae; Streptophyta; Magnoliopsida; Poales; Poaceae.
GGAUGCGAUUAUACCAGCACUAAAGCACCGGAUCCCAUCAGAACUCUGAAGUUAAGCGUGCUUGGGCGAGAGUAGUACUAGGAUGGGUGACCUCCUGGGAAGUCCUCGUGUUGCAUUCC